RNAcentral lists this ribosomal RNA (253 nucleotides) under uncultured bacterium. Its description in RNAcentral is "partial 16S ribosomal RNA". It matches the Rfam family "Bacterial small subunit ribosomal RNA", at positions 524 to 776 of the family's 1533-position model. The record is from RNAcentral.
UACGGGGGGGGCAAGCGUUGUUCGGAAUUACUGGGCGGAAAGGGCUCGUAGGUGGCCAACUAAGUCAGACGUGAAAUCCCUCGGCUUAACCGGGGAACUGCGUCUGAUACUGGAUGGCUUGAGUUUGGGAGAGGGAUGCGGAAUUCCAGGUGUAGCGGUGAAAUGCGUAGAUAUCUGGAGGAACACCGGUGGCGAAGGCGGAUCUCUGGGCCAUUACUGACGCUGAGGAGCGAAAGCGUGGGGAGCGAACAGG